AGGAUGAACGCUGGCGGCGUGCUUAACACAUGCAAGUCGAGCGAAGCACCUUGACGGAUUUCUUCGGAUUGAAGCCUUGGUGACUGAGCGGCGGACGGGUGAGUAACGCGUGGGUAACCUGCCUCAUACAGGGGGAUAACAGUUGGAAACGGCUGCUAAUACCGCAUAAGCGCACAGUACCGCAUGGUACGGUGUGAAAAACUCCGGUGGUAUGAGAUGGACCCGCGUCUGAUUAGGUAGUUGGUGGGGUAACGGCCUACCAAGCCGACGAUCAGUAGCCGACCUGAGAGGGUGACCGGCCACAUUGGGACUGAGACACGGCCCAAACUCCUACGGGAGGCAGCAGUGGGGAAUAUUGCACAAUGGGGGAAACCCUGAUGCAGCGACGCCGCGUGAGCGAUGAAGUAUUUCGGUAUGUAAAGCUCUAUCAGCAGGGAAGAAAAUGACGGUACCUGACUAAGAAGCCCCGGCUAACUACGUGCCAGCAGCCGCGGUAAUACGUAGGGGGCAAGCGUUAUCCG
RNAcentral lists this ribosomal RNA (521 nucleotides) under Mediterraneibacter gnavus ATCC 29149. RNAcentral describes it as "SSU rRNA". It matches the Rfam family "Bacterial small subunit ribosomal RNA", at positions 26 to 547 of the family's 1533-position model. Lineage: Bacteria; Bacillati; Bacillota; Clostridia; Lachnospirales; Lachnospiraceae. The record is from RNAcentral.